AGCAGUCGCCGCGGUAAUACGUAGGUGGCGAGCGUUGUCCGGAAUCAUUGGGCGUAAAGGGAGCGCAGGCGGGCAUGUAAGUCCUUCUUAAAAGUUCGGGGCUCAACCCCGUGAUGGGAAAGAAACUACAUGUCUUGAGUACAGGAGAGGAGAGCGGAAUUCCCAGUGUAGCGGUGAAAUGCGUAGAUAUUGGGAGGAACACCAGUGGCGAAGGCGGCUUUCUGGACUGCAACUGACGCUGAGGCUCGAAAGCCAGGGGAGCGAACGGGAUUAGAUACCCGUGUAGUCCCUGUCUCUUAUACC
This 303-nucleotide ribosomal RNA is filed under the name uncultured bacterium. RNAcentral's name for it is "partial 16S ribosomal RNA". It matches the Rfam family "Bacterial small subunit ribosomal RNA", at positions 507 to 808 of the family's 1533-position model. The record is from RNAcentral.